GGAUUUUUUACUCCACCUUCCUCUGUUCCUGUUGAUAAGAUGUCUUCAGGGACCUGCACAAUUGUCUGGUGUCUGUUCUCUGAGUGUCUUAAUGUUUUCCUUGGUGUUUUGGUGCUGUGGGUGGUCGACACCAUGCAGACAGAACACACAGACAUUUAAGUGAGUGUGGAACAACGUAGCAACUUUCUAGAUCAGCCAAAGAAGGGCAAUUUUAGGCUAGGCUCUUGAAAACAACACAACCUUUUCUUCUGGACUGUGUCAUUUGUUCCACUCAACAUCAACUUUUAUUAACGGAACUGAUUGUCCACAAUAUGUUGUUUUAUUUUAGGAACAUAUAUCAUUGUAUUUUGUUAACGCUGGGCAUUUCCGUGUUUUUUAUGUGAACUCCAGGAUGCAGUGUGCUGACAUCUCAGCUAAGAAAGCCACAGAUGGACAGUGGGUGUUUGCCGAGGCCGUCUUUAACAGCACAGUAAUAGGGAGAAUCACAUUGUCCCAGCAGACCUUCCCUGAUGGCGGCUUCAGUGACGUCACUCUGGAGGUAGACGUGCGUUCGUCACAGGAAUACAACGUAACAGAGGUUUCCUGGUUCAUCACUAGUAAUCGCUCUGAGGUGAAUGACAUCAAAUGUACCGCUGUUGGGGACACAUUUAACCCCUUCAACAUGGAGACUGAGAGCUCCAGUUGCUCCAUAGACAGUGUUCUGGGGUGUGAGGUGGGAGAUCUAACAACCAGACAGGGUAAUGUCAGCUUGACACACAGACUGCUGUUCACUGACGCAAGCAUACAACUGGCUGGAGACUACACAGUGGUCCACAGGUCUGUGGUACUAAAGAGCGGCACCAAGGUUCUGGCGUGUGCCGACAUCCUCCCACAAUCCCCUUGGGCGGUGCAGACCUUCCCCGUUGGCACGUCUUUCAGCAGAUAUGACUUCCGCAGUAAGGUGGCGGAUGUUCUGGAGGUCGACGUGUCCAGGGUCACCAUCCUUCCAGGGUCUCCUGUGGCCACGAGGGACGGGACAUGCCUAGAAGUCAGCUAUCUUGUCUCAGGGGACGUGAGUACAGACAAGAUGAACUCUGUCAAAGACAGUCCGAAGAUGGGCCUGCUGAGACAGACAAAGGUUUGCUCAAGAAGUGCUGGACUACGAUGGGAGCCAGGGAGAUAUCUGACAGUGUUCACUAUAGCUGCAGCCUAUGUCAUACACUCUUUGAUGAUCCACCAGUAGUUCAAAUCCUGUACAUGUUAACCCUAAUAGGAAUAAACACUGGUACUUUUCCAAGCUGCAAUGAAGUUUACAUUUAAAUGCCAACUUCCUGUAUUAUAUUGUAAAAUGUCAAAGUUUGGAUGAAUAUUGCUGAGUAUUUUGUUUAAGGUCAAUAUCCAACAUCAGAGCAAAAUUAAUAAGACAAGAAUUGUUCAUUUGUGAAGCUGUGCAGUUUCUGCUCAUCCAACCUGCAGUUUUGGAAACUGAUGCUGUACAUUUAUUCCAGUCGGCCACUAUAUUCAUGCGUUUUCUCAUGGUUGUCACUGCCACAUUUCAAUCCAUUUUAUUUUCAAGUCUUGUUUGUGUUUUUAUUUAUUUACAAAGAUUUUGAUGAUUAAGAAAUAAAUUUGGAUACAUCCCUUUACAAC
This is a long non-coding RNA of Esox lucius (northern pike), 1629 nucleotides long. NCBI's taxonomy places the organism in Eukaryota, Metazoa, Chordata, Actinopteri, Esociformes, Esocidae. The record is from Ensembl.